UAAAUGGAAGCAGAAAAUUAGCGUUCUAGCUGUUGACUAGAAAGGUGUACGGUAGUACCCAUUUAG
Molecule: transfer RNA, 66 nt
Filed under: Epitonium scalare
Lineage: Eukaryota; Metazoa; Mollusca; Gastropoda; Epitoniidae
Description: tRNA-Asn
Source: RNAcentral